RNAcentral lists this ribosomal RNA (621 nucleotides) under Triticum aestivum (bread wheat). RNAcentral's name for it is "partial small subunit ribosomal RNA". Lineage: Eukaryota; Viridiplantae; Streptophyta; Magnoliopsida; Poales; Poaceae. The record is from RNAcentral.
AUGCCCUCUCUCUUGUCUCUACUCUGUAUUUUGCUCAGCCUUUUCUCCUUCAACACAUCGGCAUCUGCAUCACAAGCAAAUAUCUCCGAGAUUGAUCGCCAUGCCCUCCUUUGCUUCAAGUCUGGCAUCAGCUUUGAUCCCUUUGGCAUCCUACACUCAUGGAGCAAUGGUUCGCUCAACUUUUGUAGCUGGAAAGGGGUCACCUGCGGCAAAAAAAUCCCACCCCGGGUGGUCUCUUUGGACCUCACAUCUGCUCGUCUCGGUGGGCGCUUAUCUGGAUGUGUCGGUAACUUGACUUCUCUAUCCUUGAUGAACCUUGUCGAUAAUUAUCUGCCGGGAACCAUCCCUGGAGAAUUGGGUAAGCUUCCAAACCUCCAUACACUGAAUCUUGCCGGCAGCAAUCUGGAAGGUAACAUCCCUGAUUCACUAGGCACUAGCAAUUCACUUAGCUAUGUCAAUCUUGCAAACAACAGUCUUACCGGUGGCAUCCCUGUCUCACUGGCCAACAGUGUCUCACUCAGUACACUUAUACUGUCACGUAAUAACCUCUCUGGCGAGAUCCCUUCUAUUUUGUAUGUUAAUGGCAGCCUACCUAUAUCAAUCUGGAAGGGAAUGUUCUAA